GACGAACGCUGGCGGCGUGCUUAACGCAUGCAAGUCGAACGGAAAGGCCCUGCUUUUGUGGGGUGCUCGAGUGGCGAACGGGUGAGUAACACGUGAGUAACCUGCCCUUGACUUUGGGAUAACUUCAGGAAACUGGGGCUAAUACCGGAUAGGAGCUCCUGCUGCAUGGUGGGGGGUGGAAAGUUUCGGCGGUUGGGGAUGGACUCGCGGCUUAUCCGCUUGUUGGUGGGGUAGUGGCUUACCAAGGCUUUGAGGGGUAGCCGGCCUGAGAGGGUGACCGGCAACAUGGGGACUGAGAUACGCCCCGAACUCUUACGGGAGGCAGCAGUGGGGAAUAUGGAACAAGGGGCGGAAGCCUGUGGCAGGAACGCCGCGUGCGGAAUGACGGCUUUCGGGUGGUAAACCGCUUUCGCAUGGGACGAAGCGUGAGUGACGGUAAUGGGUAAAGAAGCACCGGCUAACUACGUG
RNAcentral lists this ribosomal RNA (468 nucleotides) under uncultured bacterium. RNAcentral's name for it is "partial 16S ribosomal RNA". It matches the Rfam family "Bacterial small subunit ribosomal RNA", at positions 28 to 507 of the family's 1533-position model. The record is from RNAcentral.